This 253-nucleotide ribosomal RNA is filed under the name uncultured bacterium. Its description in RNAcentral is "partial 16S ribosomal RNA". It matches the Rfam family "Bacterial small subunit ribosomal RNA", at positions 524 to 776 of the family's 1533-position model. The record is from RNAcentral.
UACGAAGGGGGCUAGCGUUGUUCGGAAUUACUGGGCGUAAAGCGUGCGCAGACGGCUUCUCAAGUCAGGGGUGAAAGCCCAGAGCUCAACUCUGGAAUUGCCUUUGAUACUGGAAGUCUUGAGUCCGGGAGAGGUGAGUGGAACUGCGAGUGUAGAGGUGAAAUUCGUAGAUAUUCGCAAGAACACCAGUGGCGAAGGCGGCUCACUGGCCCGGAACUGACACUGAGGAGCGAAAGCGUGGGUAGCGAACAGG